AGAGUUUGAUCAUGGCUCAGGAUGAACGCUGGCGGCGUGCCUAAUACAUGCAAGUCGAGCGGUAAGGCCCCUUCGGGGGUACACGAGCGGCGGACGGCUGAGUAACACGUAGGAACGUACCCCAAACUGAGGGAUAAGCACCAGAAAUGGUGUCUAAUACCGCAUGUGAUCUUCGGAUUAAAGCUUCGGCGGUUUGGGAACGGCCUGCGUCUGAUUAGUUUGUUGGUGAGGUAAUGGCUCACCAAGACUACGAUCAGUAGCUGGUCUGAGAGGAUGACCAGCCAGACUGGGACUGAGAACGGCCCAGACUCCUACGGGAGGCAGCAGUAGGGAAUUUUCCACAAUGGACGAAAGUCUGAUGGAGCAACGCCGCGUGCAGGAUGAAUGCCUUCGGGUUGUAAACUGCUUUUAUCUGUGACGAUUGUGACGGUAGCAGAUGAAUAAGGAUCGGCUAACUCCGUGCCAGCAGCCGCGGUCAUACGGAGGAUCCAAGCGUUAUCCGGAAUUACUGGGCGUAAAGAGUUGCGUAGGUGGCAUCGUAAGUUGGUAGUGAAAGCGUGGGGCUCAACCCCAUAUCCAUUACCGAAACUGCGGAGCUAGAGAAUGAGAGAGGUCGCUGGAAUUCCCUGUGUAGGAGUGAAAUCCGUAGAUAUAGGGAGGAACACCGAUGGCGUAGGCAGGCGACUGGCUCAUUUCUGACACUAAGGCACGAAAGCGUGGGGAGCAAACGGGAUUAGAUACCCUAGUAGUCC
Molecule: ribosomal RNA, 752 nt
Filed under: uncultured bacterium
Lineage: Bacteria
Description: bacterial SSU rRNA
Rfam family: Bacterial small subunit ribosomal RNA
Source: RNAcentral